Molecule: ribosomal RNA, 432 nt
Filed under: uncultured bacterium
Lineage: Bacteria
Description: partial 16S ribosomal RNA
Rfam family: Bacterial small subunit ribosomal RNA
Source: RNAcentral
AACGAACGCUGGCGGCAUGCCUAACACAUGCAAGUCGAACGAGACCUUCGGGUCUAGUGGCGCACGGGUGCGUAACGCGUGGGAACCUGCCCUUAGGUUCGGAAUAACUCCCCGAAAGGGGUGCUAAUACCGGAUAAUGUCUUCGGACCAAAGAUUUAUCGCCUUUGGAUGGGCCCGCGUUGGAUUAGCUAGUUGGUAGGGUAAAAGCCUACCAAGGCGACGAUCCAUAGCUGGUCUGAGAGGAUGAUCAGCCACACUGGGACUGAGACACGGCCCAGACUCCUACGGGAGGCAGCAGUGGGGAAUAUUGGACAAUGGGCGAAAGCCUGAUCCAGCAAUGCCGCGGGAGUGAUGAAGGCCUUAGGUUGUAAAGCUCUUUUACCCGGGAUGAUAAUGACAGUACCGGGAGAAUAAGCUCCGGCUAACUCCGUG